AUUUAAUUCUAGUGGCGGACGGGUGAGUAACGCGUGGGUAACCUGCCUUAUACAGGGGGAUAACAGUCAGAAAUGGCUGCUAAUACCGCAUAAGCGCACAGAGCUGCAUGGCUCAGUGUGAAAAACUCCGGUGGUAUAAGAUGGACCCGCGUUGGAUUAGCUAGUUGGUGGGGUAACGGCCCACCAAGGCGACGAUCCAUAGCCGGCCUGAGAGGGUGAACGGCCACAUUGGGACUGAGACACGGCCCAGACUCCUACGGGAGGCAGCAGUGGGGAAUAUUGCACAAUGGGGGAAACCCUGAUGCAGCGACGCCGCGUGAAGGAAGAAGUAUCUCGGUAUGUAAACUUCUAUCAGCAGGGAAGAUAGUGACGGUACCUGACUAAGAAGCCCCGGCUAACUACGUGCCAGCAGCCGCGGUAAUACGUAGGGGGCAAGCGUUAUCCGGAUUUACUGGGUGUAAAGGGAGCGUAGACGGUGUGGCAAGUCUGAUGUGAAAGGCAUGGGCUCAACCUGUGGACUGCAUUGGAAACUGUCAUACUUGAGUGCCGGAGGGGUAAGCGGAAUUCCUAGUGUAGCGGUGAAAUGCGUAGAUAUUAGGA
Molecule: ribosomal RNA, 600 nt
Filed under: uncultured Lachnospiraceae bacterium
Lineage: Bacteria; Bacillati; Bacillota; Clostridia; Lachnospirales; Lachnospiraceae
Description: bacterial SSU rRNA
Rfam family: Bacterial small subunit ribosomal RNA
Source: RNAcentral